CUGGCGUUUCAUCAUAUAUUCGAGAGUAUGGGUCUCGGCGGAUGCAUCGCGCAGGAAACAAGCCAUAUGCCCUGGAGAGUCUCAACUAAGUGUAUUUAAAUUGUCAGUAAAACACAUAAAAGACCCAUUGACAGCUGGGCUGUUAAUUGACACUCUUCUACAGUUUUUCAGACAGAAAGCGAAAAUUCAUGAUGACUAUUUGGAAGGUUUGCAUGUGGUCAAAGAUAUCCUUCCUGUUUU
Molecule: long non-coding RNA, 240 nt
Organism: Dioscorea cayenensis subsp. rotundata (Guinea yam)
Lineage: Eukaryota; Viridiplantae; Streptophyta; Magnoliopsida; Dioscoreales; Dioscoreaceae
Exons: 3
Source: RefSeq, a predicted model, not a curated record